Molecule: small nuclear RNA, 107 nt
Organism: Mastomys coucha (southern multimammate mouse)
Lineage: Eukaryota; Metazoa; Chordata; Mammalia; Rodentia; Muridae
Source: RefSeq, a predicted model, not a curated record
AUGCUCGCUUCUGCAGCACAUAUACUAAAACUGGAACGAUACUGAGAAGAUUAGCAUGGCCCCUGCCAAAGGAUGACAUGCAAAUUUGUGAAGUGAUCCAUAUUUUU